UUGGAUUCAGACACAUGACCAUAGAGUAAGGACAAUACCUCAACAAUGGAUUCAUUUCCCAAUUCAUUAAGAUCCACAAUUUCAUUCCUAGAAAAUAUAAAAAAUAAAUUCUCAUCCUCAAAAUCAAUCCUUGAAAGAUACAGAAACACAACUACAUUAUGAGAUUGAAUACAUUUUGAUUAAGGAUGAAAAGUAAUAACCUAUUAACAGAUAAACAAUCUUUGAAAACAUGUAUGAAUUGCUUAGGCAGCUUGAAGUGACUUAGUAUGCCUUCGAAUUGUCAAGCAUUUCACCUGCAUGAAACACCAUCUUUAGUUUAGAUUACACAAGAAUAUAGGAAGUAAAGAGCAUUUUACUGUUGACAUGUGAGCACUUUCCACAAAAAAUUGGACUUAUUGAUGAAAUAGUAUAAGUUUGUGUUACCCUUCUUAAUAAGAGUAAAGGUUAAAAAGAAAUUAACUAAAACCUUAUUACCUUCGAACAACCAUGGUGAUUUUUCCAACAUCCUCACCAUGUUGCAUUAUAUUCUGAUCUGAGCCUGCAUAUAUUACACAAAAUCAAGAGCAAAUACCACUAGAUCAACCAUUCAAUCAUUAUCUCAUAACACUCAUUUAAUAGUUUUAACUGUAAAAACUCUGACAUUUCUCUCAAACAUUUCAUCAAACAGAUUAUGUGCAUCAGAGAAACAUGCAAGAGAACUUACAAUACCAGGGAAAGGGUCACUAAAAACGAAUGUGUACACAUUAUUUUAACUGAUGAUGGUGUGGGAAGAUAAAAGACGCUCCGAUCUUCUUACAGAUAAAGGUUCGAUACAUUGUAGGUUGUGGUGGUGGUAGUCUCCUUUAAAGUGAUUUAGGCCAGGGAAACUGCAUGUCGUUUUAAUUAUAAACAAUAUCACCAAGAUUUAGGGAUUUGAUGUAUUUUAAAAUUUGAAGCACUGAUUUGGUUUACAAAAAUAUUGGAGAAAUUGUAGAAGAAACGGUUGAACAAGAGAAUGUUCCCAAAUUUCUUGCUAUUUUUUUUUUGGAAAAUAUCGAUUUGAAACUACUGAAAAGAAGGAGUAUAUGUUUGACUGUAAGGGCAAAUGCGGAAUUUCACUAAGAAAUUUUGAGCGGGAAAAUUAGAUUGGGG
This 1131-nucleotide long non-coding RNA is filed under the name Lactuca sativa (garden lettuce). RNAcentral's name for it is "long non-coding RNA (LSAT_LNC001556)". Lineage: Eukaryota; Viridiplantae; Streptophyta; Magnoliopsida; Asterales; Asteraceae. The record is from RNAcentral.